CGGCGACGGGUGAGUAACACGUGGAUAACUUACCUAUAAGACUGGGAUAACUUCGGGAAACCGGAGCUAAUACCGGAUAAUAUAUUGAACCGCAUGGUUCAAUAGUGAAAGACGGUUUUGCUGUCACUUAUAGAUGGAUCCGCGCCGCAUUAGCUAGUUGGUAAGGUAACGGCUUACCAAGGCAACGAUGCGUAGCCGACCUGAGAGGGUGAUCGGCCACACUGGAACUGAGACACGGUCCAGACUCCUACGGGAGGCAGCAGGUC
This 266-nucleotide ribosomal RNA is filed under the name uncultured Staphylococcus sp. Its description in RNAcentral is "partial 16S ribosomal RNA". It matches the Rfam family "Bacterial small subunit ribosomal RNA", at positions 96 to 354 of the family's 1533-position model. Lineage: Bacteria; Bacillati; Bacillota; Bacilli; Caryophanales; Staphylococcaceae. The record is from RNAcentral.